RNAcentral lists this transfer RNA (76 nucleotides) under Paenibacillus amylolyticus. RNAcentral's name for it is "tRNA-Thr". It matches the Rfam family "tRNA". Rfam says of the family: Transfer RNA (tRNA) molecules are approximately 80 nucleotides in length. Their secondary structure includes four short double-helical elements and three loops (D, anti-codon, and T loops). Further hydrogen bonds mediate the characteristic L-shaped molecular structure. tRNAs have two regions of fundamental functional importance: the anti-codon, which is responsible for specific mRNA codon recognition, and the 3' end, to which the tRNAs corresponding amino acid is attached (by aminoacyl-tRNA synthetases). tRNAs cope with the degeneracy of the genetic code in two manners: having more than one tRNA (with a specific anti-codon) for a particular amino acid; and 'wobble' base-pairing, i.e. permitting non-standard base-pairing at the 3rd anti-codon position. The record is from RNAcentral. Lineage: Bacteria; Bacillati; Bacillota; Bacilli; Caryophanales; Paenibacillaceae.
GCCGGUGUAGCUCAACUGGUAGAGCAACUGACUUGUAAUCAGUAGGUUGGGGGUUCAAGUCCUCUCGCCGGCACCU